GGCUCAAUGGUCUAGUGGUAGGAUACUCGCUUCGGGUCUGUACGAUUCCAAUCUCACUGGAUCGUGAAUCCCAUCUCGCAGAACGAGAUAAUGUGAGUGGUCCCGGGUUCAAAUCCCGGUUGAGCCC
Molecule: transfer RNA, 127 nt
Filed under: Hypoxylon sp. CO27-5
Lineage: Eukaryota; Fungi; Ascomycota; Sordariomycetes; Xylariales; Hypoxylaceae
Rfam family: tRNA
About the family: Transfer RNA (tRNA) molecules are approximately 80 nucleotides in length.
Source: Rfam by way of RNAcentral